RNAcentral lists this ribosomal RNA (465 nucleotides) under uncultured bacterium. RNAcentral describes it as "partial 16S ribosomal RNA". It matches the Rfam family "Bacterial small subunit ribosomal RNA", at positions 338 to 795 of the family's 1533-position model. The record is from RNAcentral.
CCUACGGGUGGCAGCAGUGGGGAAUAUUGCGCAAUGGGCGAAAGCCUGACGCAGCGACGCCGCGGGAGGGAUGAAGGUCUUCGGAUCGUAAACCUCUGUCAGCAGGGAAGCACGGUCACUGUGCUAAUCAGCAGUGAAUUGACGGUACCUGCAAAGGAAGCACCGGCUAACUCCGUGCCAGCCGCCGCGGUAAUACGGAGGGUGCGAGCGAUAAUCGGAAUUACUGGGCGGAAAGCGCUCGUUGGCGGUAUGUCAAGUCAAGGGUGAAAUCCCCGUGCUCAACGUGGGAACUGCCUUUGAAACGGGCAAACUGGAGUGUGUGAGAGGAUAGUGGAAUUCCAGGUGUAGGAGUGAAAUGCGUAGAUAUCUGGAGGAACAUCAGUGGCGAAGGCGACUAUCUGGCACAUAACUGACACUGAGGCUCGAAAGUGUGGGUAUCAAACAGGAUUAGAUACCCUUGUAGUC